RNAcentral lists this ribosomal RNA (500 nucleotides) under uncultured bacterium. RNAcentral describes it as "partial 16S ribosomal RNA". It matches the Rfam family "Bacterial small subunit ribosomal RNA", at positions 30 to 523 of the family's 1533-position model. The record is from RNAcentral.
AUUGAACGCUGGCGGAGUGCUUUACACAUGCAAGUCGAACGGCAGCACGGACUUCGGUCUGGUGGCGAGUGGCGAACGGGUGAGUAAUACAUCGGAACGUGCCCAGUCGUGGGGGAUAACGUAGCGAAAGCUACGCUAAUACCGCAUACGAUCUACGGAUGAAAGCGGGGGAUCGCAAGACCUCGCGCGAUUGGAGCGGCCGAGGGCAGAUUAGGUAGUUGGUGGGGUAAAGGCCUACUAAGCCGACGAUCUGUAGCUGGUCUGAGAGGACGAACAGCCACACUGGGACUGAGACACGGCCCAGACUCCUACGGGAGGCAGCAGUGGGGAAUUUUGGACAAUGGGCGCAAGCCUGAUCCAGCCAUUCCGCGUGCAGGAUGAAGGCCCUCGGGUUGUAAACUGCUUUUGUACGGAACGAAAAGGCUCUGGUUAAUACCUGGGGCUCAUGACGGUACCGUAAGAAUAAGCACCGACUAACUACGUGCCAGCAGCCGCAGUAA